GGCUGGUCCAAGUGCAGUGGUGUUUACAACUAAUUGAGCACAACCAGUUACAGAUUCCUUUGUUCCUUCUCCACUCCCACUGCUUCACUUGACUAGCCUAAG
This 102-nucleotide Y RNA is filed under the name Propithecus coquereli (Coquerel's sifaka). RNAcentral's name for it is "Y RNA (ENSPCOG00000010583.1)". It matches the Rfam family "Y RNA". From Rfam's summary of the family: Y RNAs are components of the Ro ribonucleoprotein particle (Ro RNP), in association with Ro60 and La proteins. The Y RNAs and Ro60 and La proteins are well conserved, but the function of the Ro RNP is not known. The record is from Rfam by way of RNAcentral. Lineage: Eukaryota; Metazoa; Chordata; Mammalia; Primates; Indriidae.